Molecule: ribosomal RNA, 798 nt
Filed under: uncultured Burkholderiales bacterium
Lineage: Bacteria; Pseudomonadati; Pseudomonadota; Betaproteobacteria; Burkholderiales
Description: bacterial SSU rRNA
Rfam family: Bacterial small subunit ribosomal RNA
Source: RNAcentral
GCAAGUCGAACGGUAGAGGGGGCAACCCCUUGAGAGUGGCGAACGGGUCAGUAAUAUAUCGGAACGUGCCCAGUCGUGGGGGAUAACGUAGCGAAAGUUACGCUAAUACCGCAUACGAUCUAAGGAUGAAAGCGGGGGAUCGCAAGACCUCGCGCGACUGGAGCGGCCGAUAUCAGAUUAGGUAGUUGGUAGGGUAAAGGCCUACCAAGCCAACGAUCUGUAGCUGGUCUGAGAGGACGACCAGCCACACUGGAACUGAGACACGGUCCAGACUCCUACGGGAGGCAGCAGUGGGGAAUUUUGGACAAUGGGCGAAAGCCUGAUCCAGCCAUUCCGCGUGCAGGAUGAAGGCCCUCGGGUUGUAAACUGCUUUUGUACAGAACGAAAAGGUUUCUAUUAAUACUAGGAGCUCAUGACGGUACUGUAAGAAUAAGCACCGGCUAACUACGUGCCAGCAGCCGCGGUAAUACGUAGGGUGCAAGCGUUAAUCGGAAUUACUGGGCGUAAAGCGUGCGCAGGCGGUUAUAUAAGUCAGAUGUGAAAUCCCCGGGCUCAACCUGGGAACUGCAUUUGAGACUGUAUAGCUAGAGUACGGUAGAGGGGGAUGGAAUUCCGCGUGUAGCAGUGAAAUGCGUAGAUAUGCGGAGGAACACCGAUGGCGAAGGCAAUCCCCUGGACCUGUACUGACGCUCAUGCACGAAAGCGUGGGGAGCAAACAGGAUUAGAUACCCUGGUAGUCCACGCCCUAAACGAUGUCAACUGGGGUGUGGGUCUUUACUGACUCAGUAACCAAGCUAA